This 253-nucleotide ribosomal RNA is filed under the name uncultured bacterium. RNAcentral's name for it is "partial 16S ribosomal RNA". It matches the Rfam family "Bacterial small subunit ribosomal RNA", at positions 524 to 776 of the family's 1533-position model. The record is from RNAcentral.
UACGUAGGGUGCGAGCGUUGUCCGGAAUUAUUGGGCGUAAAGGGCUCGUAGGCGGUUUGUCACGUCGGGAGUGAAAACUCAGGGCUCAACCCUGAGCGUGCUUCCGAUACGGGCAGACUAGAGGUAUGCAGGGGAGAACGGAAUUCCUGGUGUAGCGGUGAAAUGCGCAGAUAUCAGGAAGAACACCCGUGGCGAAGGCGGCUCUCUGGAACGCAACUGACGCUGAGACGCGAAAGCGUGGGGAGCAAACAGG